Long non-coding RNA from Juglans microcarpa x Juglans regia, 180 nucleotides. RefSeq lists it as uncharacterized. Lineage: Eukaryota; Viridiplantae; Streptophyta; Magnoliopsida; Fagales; Juglandaceae. The record is from RefSeq and is a predicted model, not a curated record. The transcript is spliced from 2 exons.
AUAGAAGUUACUGUUGGGAGUAACCAUUUUGUAUACAUGAUGUGGCAUCAUCUAGACCACACAUCUCUCAAGUCUAAAAUAAAAAAGUAGAGAACUAAAAGUAGCCAUAACUAGAAACAGUCAUGUAGUGAAUGUAAAGUGUGUACUGCUAUAGUGGCUUCUCUCUAGCAUUACUCUAAA